CAUCAUCGAAAACAACUUAUGAGU
RNAcentral lists this microRNA (24 nucleotides) under Ananas comosus (pineapple). RNAcentral's name for it is "microRNA s0895_c118a". Lineage: Eukaryota; Viridiplantae; Streptophyta; Magnoliopsida; Poales; Bromeliaceae. The record is from RNAcentral.